RNAcentral lists this ribosomal RNA (660 nucleotides) under uncultured bacterium. Its description in RNAcentral is "bacterial SSU rRNA". It matches the Rfam family "Bacterial small subunit ribosomal RNA", at positions 94 to 788 of the family's 1533-position model. The record is from RNAcentral.
AGUGGCGGACGGGUGAGUAACGCGUGAGAAUCUGCCUUGGGGUCGGGGACAACCACUGGAAACGGUGGCUAAUACCGGAUAAGCCGAUUGGUGAAAGAUUUAUUGCCCGAAGAGGAGCUCGCGUCUGAUUAGCUAGUUGGUGAGGUGAGAGCUCACCAAGGCAGCGAUCAGUAGCUGGUCUGAGAGGACGAUCAGCCACACUGGGACUGAGACACGGCCCAGACUCCUACGGGAGGCAGCAGUGGGGAAUUUUCCGCAAUGGGCGAAAGCCUGACGGAGCAAGACCGCGUGAGGGAGGAAGGCUCUUGGGUUGUAAACCUCUUUUCUCAGGGAAGAAGCUCUGACGGUACCUGAGGAAUCAGCCUCGGCUAACUCCGUGCCAGCAGCCGCGGUAAUACGGAGGAGGCAAGCGUUAUCCGGAAUUAUUGGGCGUAAAGCGUCCGCAGGUGGCGAUUCAAGUCUGCUGUCAAAGCACGGGGCUUAACUCCGUAAAGGCAGUGGAAACUGAAUAGCUAGAGUGCCGUAGGGGUAGAGGGAAUUCCCGGUGUAGCGGUGAAAUGCGUAGAGAUCGGGAAGAACAUCGGUGGCGAAAGCGCUCUACUGGACGGCAACUGACACUCAGGGACGAAAGCUAGGGGAGCGAAUGGGAUUAGAUACCCC